Molecule: long non-coding RNA, 322 nt
Filed under: Mytilus galloprovincialis (Mediterranean mussel)
Lineage: Eukaryota; Metazoa; Mollusca; Bivalvia; Mytilida; Mytilidae
Source: RNAcentral
UUUAAGGGGGUUCGCGGGUCUAAAUCAUUUAUAUAGGAUUUCUCUAUAUUUUUCUAUAAAUGAACUUUAUCUUAUAGAAAAAUAAAAAAAAAAAGUGGGGUCACCGUUCAUUUGCGCUCACAAUCUGCCUUCGAAAGAAGCAUACAUUUUUGUAAAGGUGUUUUUUUUUCUGUUGAAGUAAUAGGAGAAAUAAAGGUAAUAUCGAAAUAAAAAAAAAAGAAAUUUAUUACAGAAAUCGCUAAAAUUUUACAAUAAUUUAGUUUAAGUACAGCUUAUAUGGAAAUUAUAUUAAAAAAGAUAGGUCACCGAUGAGUUGAAAAAG